Long non-coding RNA from Salvia hispanica, 786 nucleotides. RefSeq lists it as uncharacterized. The record is from RefSeq and is a predicted model, not a curated record. Lineage: Eukaryota; Viridiplantae; Streptophyta; Magnoliopsida; Lamiales; Lamiaceae.
GCCUAAAUUAAAAAGAAAAAUUACAUUAUUAUAGAGCCCAUUCUUAGAAAAUCCAAAUCACUAAAAUAAUUUGCUUUUGGAGCCCAAAGAUCCCUCUUUGCAUAAGUUACGUAGCCAGCCUCCACCUUCUUUAUGGUUGAUUACUCUCCUUCCCCUCAAGGCAUGCAGCUGCUUGAUCUCCACCUCCUGCUCGAUUCUGCCACUCCACCUCCUGCUCAGACUCUGUCUCAUGAUGUCCACGGUAUACUCAUCCCAUCAUUCACAAACUGCGAACCUUCAGCAAAUUGAGAGAGAAAGCCGAGAGGGAAAGAGGUAGAAGAAACUGUUGUCUUUUAUUUCAAUCUCAUACAAGCUAAGAAACGAAUCUGCCAAGUCCAAGGAACUACUCCUUUCGACCUUCAAUUUGCACCCCAAAUUCAAAGUUCGGUUGAAAGUGAGGGUGGUGUCCCUACUCGGACUAGUGUACACAGGUAUAGUGGAGGCCGUUGGGAGGUGGCCACCUCCCCGGCUGGAGAAAGAUGUAGGUGACCGUGGGAGAGCACCAUCUCCAUGGCACUUGGUGUUCAGAUAUGGCAAAGUAUGAAAGAACUUAGACUGCGCAGUCGAACAAAGAUUUUAGUUGAGCAGUGACGGUGGGGAAUGCUGAGCAGAGUUUACGAUUUUCUUUAUAUUUUAAGUAGAGGCUCUCAGAGGUGCAUGUUUCCAUACAUGUGACCGUGUUCAUUCCGCUGCGUAUUGUUCUUCUAUACUCUGAUAAAUAUUUAUUGAAGAGUAAGAUCUCCAUUC